This 282-nucleotide long non-coding RNA is filed under the name Lathyrus oleraceus (garden pea). RNAcentral's name for it is "Pisum sativum (pea) long non-coding RNA (PSAT_LNC040699)". The record is from RNAcentral. Lineage: Eukaryota; Viridiplantae; Streptophyta; Magnoliopsida; Fabales; Fabaceae.
UCAAGAAGAGAUAUAUGCUAGCAAACCACAUCUAGUUUUCCGUAAUUUUUCAAAUGAGUUACUAUUUUGGUGCUACAAAUUAAAAAUUAAAUCAAAUACUUAACUUAAUAUUUAAGUUAAAACUAUUGACACAAUAAUGUAAAGACCAAUGAAACAGUGAUAACAUAACCAAGGCCAUUAAAUCCCAUUUGCAUGUAAAAGUUAUCUGCAUGUAAAACUUAAUUAAGGGCUUAUAACAUAACCAUUUAACAUGAAAUACGUAUAUCCGACACGAACCAUUUA